GGGAGCCCCAGACACCACCUGCCCCCUCCUCGACUCGGAGCUCCUCUUCGGACCGUUUCCUGAACUUUAAUGACGGGCAAUUAGCGCGGAAAGGACACAGGACUCAGACAAGACCAAUGAGACUCCAUUUUUUAAAGAUCCCCAAAUUCCUGGGAAGAAGCCCUUUUCUUCUUGCAUUUGAAGGUGGCACAUGUUGUGUGGCUGUUGCUGGUGUCGUCACAUGGGGCCUGCCUGAAAGUGAAACCAACACAGGAGGAAGUGAAGCCAGAAGACGGAGAGAGACUGGGUCCUCCUUAUAUCCUGGGAGCCCUUGGAUCCAGCUUGCCAGAGAGGCUCUACCCCUAAAUUUCCAGCUAUAGGUGCCAACAGACCUCUUACUUCCUUUCUAGUUGGUUUGAGCUGGGUUUCUGCCCCUAACAAAUGAAAAAGUCCUCACCAAUAUAAAAGUCACAGAAAAAAAGGCUUUUUGUGUGUAAUGGGAAAGCCAAAGAGAUAAUCAUGUGUGUUUCUAGUGACUCACAAAUAGGAGCUCUUCUGUUCUGAGAAAACCACAACUUUAGAUCAAGAAAGGGUCUUAGUGAUCAUCUACCCCCAAAAUUACAUUUUUCCCAACGAAGAUACUAGAGAAUUCAGGAAAGUACCCAGAGUUGUGGCAAUUCCACAGUAGAGUUAAGACCAAAACUCAAAUCUCCUGAAAACCUGAUCAGUAGAAAGUUCAUAUUGAGACAUUUGCUACAUCAUUUAAACAUAUUUGGCCAAGAGACGCACAUAGUUACAAGAAGAUUGUAACAGAUUCCUUUGCUCUAUUAAAGAAUAACCACAACAG
This is a non-coding RNA of Macaca mulatta (Rhesus monkey), 826 nucleotides long. The record is from RefSeq and is a predicted model, not a curated record. Lineage: Eukaryota; Metazoa; Chordata; Mammalia; Primates; Cercopithecidae.